Long non-coding RNA from Brassica napus (rape), 3623 nucleotides. RefSeq lists it as uncharacterized. NCBI's taxonomy places the organism in Eukaryota, Viridiplantae, Streptophyta, Magnoliopsida, Brassicales, Brassicaceae. The transcript is spliced from 2 exons. The record is from RefSeq and is a predicted model, not a curated record.
UCAAAUAGUUUCAAAACAGAGAAAACUUCAAAAACAUUUUUUUAUUCUUAAUAUUAAUAAACAAAAAACUGUCACAUUAGGAUGAAUUUAUAAAUUUUUAGAAUCCAAUAUAUAAAACACAAAAAAUACAUAUCACAAAUUUGUACCACUUUGGGCAUGAGACUUUCUGAAGACUUUGUGGGAAGUCUUCUAGCAUAAAAUGCAUUAGAAGACUUAUCUAGAAGUCUUCCGAGAGUCUUCUGAGAAGUCUUUCAACGUCAGUCUCAGAUCUGAAAAACCUGCAAAUUCAAAAACAUUCAAAUGACUUCAAAACAGAUAAAAACUUCAAAAAUAUAAUUUUAAUGCUUAAAUAAUAAACAAAACAGUCGCAAUAUGUUGAAUCUAUAGCUUUUUAGAAUAUAAUAUAUAAAACACACAAUAAUACAUAUCCAACAUUUAUAGAUCUGCCUUUGAAUGAGUGAAAGAUGAGAACCAUGUAAUGAAAAAACUGUAAAAAGAAGAUAAAUUUGUGAGAAGACAUAAGAAAAAAAAUGAAAAAUAGAUUUAAAUUUGGUGUUUUGAUGUUCAAAGAGAUUAGAGAGAGGUUGGAGAGUUUUAGAGUGAGAAAUAUUACAUUUUUGUUACAGUCAUUUGAGAGGAGGAAAAAGAAUGUGUAAAUUUUCUUUAUAUAUGGAGACAAAAAUUUCAAUUAGGUUAAAUAUUUUUGAUAUAAAAGACUUCUAAGAGAAGACUUUUUGGAAUGUUUUCUAAGAGAAGAUUUCUUUGAAAGUCUUCUAGAUCCUACAUUCACUCAUCUAUGUUAAAAAUAAUUCAAAUUUAGUAAAACUAAAUUUUCAUCGUUUUUAAAUGUUUAUUAAUACAUGAUUUCUAUUUUUCUUUUUCAAAAUUUUUUUUAUUAAAUUUAUUAUCUAAUACAUGAGAAGACUUUCCCAAGAAGACUUCGGAAAGACUUCUGGAAGACUUCGAUUUAGGCAGGAAACCUAAUUUUUUCUAAAUUUAGUUGGGGACCCUAAAUUCUACUAAAAUUUAGGCGGGAUUUUCCAGAAGACUUCUUGGUAAGUCUUCUAUGAGUCUUCUAGACCCUAUAAUCAAAUAACUAAGCAAAAAAACAAUUUCUUAAACUUGUAAGAUAUUUAGAAAGUAUUUAAAUAAAGUUAUUAGUUAGUCACUAAUCACAUAUAGGUCAAAUUUAAAGAAAAAAAAAGAUGAGAUUUCAAAAUCUAACCCUAAAAAUACUAACAAUACUACAACAUAUGUUACCAUACCCUAAACCAAAGACUAUCAUGACUCAAUCUACAUUCACUCAUCUAUGUUAAAAAUAAUUCAAUUUUAGUAAAACUAAAUUUCCAUCUUUUAAAAAUGUUUAUUAAUACAUGAUUUUGACUUUUUCCCUUUGAAAAUAUUUUUUAUAAAAUUUAUUAAUUAUUUUUAAGAUCUAAUCCACGAGAAGACUUCCUCUGGAAGACUCCUGGAUGACUUAUGGAAGACUUUUGAUUUAGGCGGGAACCCUAAAUUCUACUAAAAUUUAGGCGGAAUGUGUCGGAAGAUUUUACUAAAAUUCUACUAAAACAUAAAGUUACAUAGGUAUAUGUAGAGAUUUUUGUUACUAUUAAAUGUGGUGCGUUUGUAACAUUUGAAGUCCAAAGGACAAAGGAUUUAGACAAGUAGUUGUUGCCAGAGUACACAUUGAAUUGGUCAGAUUAUCAGUUGUAUUGGUCGAGAAACUGCUUCUUUGAUAGUUUGGAAACUAUUGCAAAAUGCUAGAAUGAAAAGACCGCACGUGAUGCCGAGAGAAUAAACAGAUAUCAUGGUAUGGAACAAUGUUGCAUGGAAACUUGUCCGAAGAUCCGUUUCACGUUUCAGAAACGUUUCGGAAUCGGAAUCUCUCGGAAACUCGCGGAAGCUCUUAAAAAUCUCAUCUUGGAAAUUUGAUGAAAACUACGUUUUUAUUUUGGAAACUCGCGAUUCUGUUUUGGUAUUUGUGCACAAUAAUGUUCGUCUUCUAUGUAGACGAAGUCUUGCAUACAAGGAUGGUCCCAAUCAUAUGUGGGAUGUUAGAGGUGAUCAAUUUGAUUCAAUGUAUGAGAUUAAUCUUGGGAAACUUGAGUGGUUUGAGGAUCUUUCUCUUGAUAAACCUAAGUUGGAAGCAGUCGUGUUUGAUGUAGCUAAUGAAGAUGAGGUUAAAGAUGAUAUAUAUUCGUGAUCACUGACGUGAUGUUAUGAUUUUCAUCUUUAGUUAAGUUAUUUAAUAUUUAAUUAUUGAGAUUUGUUAUUUUGAUUUUUAUGACUUUGAUGUUUAAUGAUUGGCUUAUUUCAUAUUGGUAUGAUUAAAUAGAAUGGCUAUAAUUGUUUAUUUGUGUUCUUAGAUAUACUAAACAUAAUAAAAUGAAUUCACAUAUUAAUCAAUUGAAUAUAUAUAUAUAUAUAUAUAUAUAUAUACACUUAAAUACGUUUCCAAAACGUUUUCAAAGCAAAAAAAUUCAAAAAUUACGUUUCCACGUUUUGAAACGUUUUGUUUCCGCAUAUCCGUUUUCGCUUCCAUGCAACCUAGGUAUGGAAGGCCAAGUGAUGUUAAGUUGCUCGACAGGUGCUUCAAUUUGAAGUUGAGGUUUGUAAGAAGUAAUGGUACAUGAAGAUUCUUCGUAAAAUUUACCAGUUUAGAAACUCUCGCGGUUCGGCUUAGAUCGUUCGAGAAAUCUCGAAAAACAUAAUUUAAGUUUUUAGGGUAGGAAUGACCAUAGAACUAUUUUAGAAGUUUUUAUGUCUCGGAAAGCAAGGUUUUGGCCAAUGAGAAACAUUUCUAUCAAUCCGGAUCAGACAACAAGACGUUCAGAAUUAAAUGUGGCUCGUUUAGGUCUGUUUACGACAUGUCGGGUUUGUCCAGAAGCUGCUGAAGGAUGCAUCAACUUGCUCUCCUACUUCCAGUAGCUGGACAUGUGUCUCUUCUUGACUGGACCACGUCCAAGCAGCUCUUGUUUCUUUCCUAUUGUCUGAAUUGGUGGCUGGCCAUAAAUCUUAUUUUAACUGGACACAUUUUGUGGCUGCACACCAAUCUGCUUCCCAAUGGUUGGUUUAGGCGGCCACCGCCUCCUUCUUGUUACCCACGAGCUAAUCAAUCCCCUUAGCCAUUCCCAUCACAUAUAAAUAUAUCAUCACCCCUUAAUUCAUUUCCCACACUGAAAACCCUACCAUAGGAACCCAAGAGCACCCGAGCGAUCCCGAGCCUUAAGAUCCGAGAAGGAGCAGAAAUGAAACGGGAAGGAGAAGGAGCAGACACGCCGGAGGUGGUGGUGUGACGGAGGAAACGCUCCGGAGGUGCUAUAUAUUGUGAAGGAGCGCACCGGAGCUUGUGGUGUGACGAAGGAAACGCCACAGAGAUGAUGGUGAACUGCGGAAGAUACAGCGGUGGAGGUACUGAAGCCUACGGUGACGUCUCCGGAGGAAUUCUGUACGAUGAAGUAUUUAUGUAUAUAUAUAUGUGUAUUUUGUGUAAUCUAUAUACUAUACUAGGACCGGCCCGCCCUACGGGCAGGAUACUAUUUUAAAAAUUAUGUAAAUAAUUAGAGUAAAUAUUCAAUAUAAAUUGUUAUAUUUUAAAAUAUACAUAUUAGUUAAAUUCUGUA